AGAUUGAACGCUUGGCGGCAUGCCUAACACAUGCAAGUCGAGGCGGCAGCGCGGGGGCAACCCUGGCGGCGAGCGGCGGACGGGUGAGUAAGGCAUCGGAAUCUGCCCUGAUGUGGGGGAUAACGUAGGGAAACUUACGCUAAUACCGCAUACGACCGGAGAGGUGAAAGCGGGGGACCGAAAGGCCUCGCGCAGCAGGAUGAGCCGAAGCCGGAUUAGCUAGUUGGUAGGGUAAUGGCCUACCAAGGCGACGAUCCGUAGCUGGUCGUGAGAGGACGACCAGCCACACUGGGACUGAGACACGGCCCAGACUCCGUACGGGAGGCAGCCUGAGC
Molecule: ribosomal RNA, 335 nt
Filed under: uncultured prokaryote
Description: bacterial SSU rRNA
Rfam family: Bacterial small subunit ribosomal RNA
Source: RNAcentral